RNAcentral lists this transfer RNA (85 nucleotides) under Felis catus (domestic cat). It matches the Rfam family "tRNA". From Rfam's summary of the family: Transfer RNA (tRNA) molecules are approximately 80 nucleotides in length. Lineage: Eukaryota; Metazoa; Chordata; Mammalia; Carnivora; Felidae. RNAcentral also lists the same sequence under 4 other names. The record is from Rfam by way of RNAcentral.
GCCUGGGUGGCUCAGUCGGUUGGGCAUCUGACUUCAGCUCAGGUCAUGAUCUCAUGGUUUGUGAGUUCAAGCCCCGUGCCAGGCU